Aquifex aeolicus VF5 is the source of this 162-nucleotide non-coding RNA. The record is from Rfam. Lineage: Bacteria; Pseudomonadati; Aquificota; Aquificia; Aquificales; Aquificaceae.
UAAGGUCUGCCCUGUUCGUGGUGCGGGGGUUGUCAAUGGGGCCUACACCGUGGGUGUAAGGGAAGUCGACUUCGGGAACUCCGGAAGGAUUCCCGAGGGACUUCCCACCUUAAAGCUCUGAGGCCCACGGCACUUCCUGCACUGCGGCAGGGCGGACACUCU